RNAcentral lists this transfer RNA (74 nucleotides) under Chloroflexota bacterium. Its description in RNAcentral is "Chloroflexi bacterium tRNA-Val". It matches the Rfam family "tRNA". Rfam says of the family: Transfer RNA (tRNA) molecules are approximately 80 nucleotides in length. Their secondary structure includes four short double-helical elements and three loops (D, anti-codon, and T loops). Further hydrogen bonds mediate the characteristic L-shaped molecular structure. tRNAs have two regions of fundamental functional importance: the anti-codon, which is responsible for specific mRNA codon recognition, and the 3' end, to which the tRNAs corresponding amino acid is attached (by aminoacyl-tRNA synthetases). tRNAs cope with the degeneracy of the genetic code in two manners: having more than one tRNA (with a specific anti-codon) for a particular amino acid; and 'wobble' base-pairing, i.e. permitting non-standard base-pairing at the 3rd anti-codon position. RNAcentral also lists the same sequence under 2 other names. The record is from RNAcentral. Lineage: Bacteria; Bacillati; Chloroflexota.
GGGCGACUAGCUCAGCUGGUCAGAGCGUCUCCUUUACACGGAGAAGGUCCUCGGUUCGAGCCCGAGGUCGCCCA